UACAGAGGGUGCAAGCGUUAAUCGGAUUUACUGGGCGUAAAGGGCGCGUAGGUGGUUGUAUAAGUUUCAUGUGAAAUCCCUGGGCUUAACCUAGGAACAGCAUGGGAAACUGUAUGACUGGAGUACUGUAGAGGGUAGUGGAAUUUCCGGUGUAGCGGUGAAAUGCGUAGAGAUCGGAAGGAACACCAGUGGCGAAGGCGGCUACCUGGACAGAUACUGACGCUGAGGCGCGAGAGCGUGGGGAGCAAACAGG
Molecule: ribosomal RNA, 253 nt
Filed under: uncultured bacterium
Lineage: Bacteria
Description: partial 16S ribosomal RNA
Rfam family: Bacterial small subunit ribosomal RNA
Source: RNAcentral